RNAcentral lists this transfer RNA (77 nucleotides) under Pseudomonadota bacterium. Its description in RNAcentral is "Proteobacteria bacterium (groundwater metagenome) tRNA-Arg". It matches the Rfam family "tRNA". From Rfam's summary of the family: Transfer RNA (tRNA) molecules are approximately 80 nucleotides in length. RNAcentral also lists the same sequence under 1 other name. Lineage: Bacteria; Pseudomonadati; Pseudomonadota. The record is from RNAcentral.
GCGCUCAUAGCUCAGUUGGAUAGAGUGACGGACUACGAAUCCGUAGGUCGCAGGUUCGAAUCCUGCUGGGCGCACCA